AGACGCAGAGAACUGAAACAUCUAAGUACCUGCAGGAAGAGAAAGAAAAUUCGAUUCCCUGAGUAGCGGCGAGCGAAACGGGAAAAGCCCAAACCAGCAAGCUUGCUUGUUGGGGUUGUAGGACUCCAAUAUGGUAGUUCUUUCAGAUAGUCGAAUGACUUGGAAAAGUCAGUCAAAGAGGGUAAAAACCCCGUAGACGAAAUGUGGAAGACACCUAGGAGGAUCCUGAGUACGGCGGAACACGAGAAAUUCCGU
RNAcentral lists this ribosomal RNA (255 nucleotides) under Enterococcus faecium. RNAcentral describes it as "partial 23S ribosomal RNA". It matches the Rfam family "Bacterial large subunit ribosomal RNA", at positions 181 to 437 of the family's 2925-position model. The record is from RNAcentral. Lineage: Bacteria; Bacillati; Bacillota; Bacilli; Lactobacillales; Enterococcaceae.